Molecule: non-coding RNA, 569 nt
Organism: Dermacentor albipictus
Lineage: Eukaryota; Metazoa; Arthropoda; Arachnida; Ixodida; Ixodidae
Source: RefSeq, a predicted model, not a curated record
UUCAGCCACAUUUGACGUGGUUCGCUCGGCUCCCGCUUUUUGCCAACAUUUUCGUAUGUUUUUCGAGUGUGUACCCCUGAACUUUCUACAUUUUCGGAUCCGUGAAGUCAAGAGGAACACGCUGAUACCCGACUUUUGUGGAUUUCGUGUGCAUCUGAUUCCCGGCGCCAUCUGUGUAACAACGAUCCUAUCAAGACCCACACGUGUAAAGCCGGCGACCCCAGCACCGUCAUCACUGCAUCGCAUGCAGCGCCGCCUACAGAGGGAUCCUGCCUUAUAAGCGACUGCCCUGGAACGGCGAUCAUCACUUAGGCAGCAGUGGUUGCGGCUUGCGAACCACUUCUAACCAUUCUCUGCAUAUUUGUGCAGCCUCUCGCACAAAUUCAUGCUGUCGUGGAGCUUACCGCAAAACUGCUUGAACAAGCAAGACCUUGAAGGCAGAGAAGAAUCACUGAACCCGCUGAAAGCAUCGUCGGAGACGUUCAACGUGUAACGAUGUAUGCGCAUCGUGCUUCGUCUUCGAGCAUGUCAAAGCCUAAAUGGCUUGUGUGACUAGGCCCGGCAGCGUC